This 253-nucleotide ribosomal RNA is filed under the name uncultured bacterium. RNAcentral describes it as "partial 16S ribosomal RNA". It matches the Rfam family "Bacterial small subunit ribosomal RNA", at positions 524 to 776 of the family's 1533-position model. The record is from RNAcentral.
UACGUAGGGGGCAAGCGUUGUCCGGAUUUAUUGGGCGUAAAGAGCGUGUAGGCGGUUAUGCAGGUCCGCUGUGAAAACUGGAGGCUUAACCUCCAGACGUCGGUGGAAACCGUAUGACUAGAGUCCGGAAGAGGAGAGUGGAAUUCCUGGUGUAGCGGUGAAAUGCGCAGAUAUCAGGAAGAACACCCGUGGCGAAGGCGGCUCACUGGGGCUUUUCUGACGCUGAGGAACGAAAGCCAGGGUAGCGAACGGG